AAAGCGGCCACACGCACACAAAUAAAGAUCCAAUAAGAGGUGACAAAAAACUCGUAAAUUUUCCCAAUUAUUCUCGAUAAAAAUACGUAAAUCCCUAAAAUAAUUGCAAUGUCUGUGACCCAAACUAGGAUGACUACCUAAAGUUGUAGUUGGCGUUGAGAAAAAAGCCCAGCAUUUUGGGUGAAUUCAAGUGUUAGGAGACUAAUUAAUUGUGGGGGAGCUUUUUGGUCAAAAGUGCAAUGGUGGAAGGAAUUUGUUUGAUUGCGGAAAAUGGGGAAAUUCGAAGGAAAACCUUAUGUUCAGGACAACUAUCUGACCAGGCGGAAGGCGGCUCAGCCGCAGGAGGAGUGUGAGAAGAAGAAGAAGAGAGAUUCGCUGCGAAAGGUCUCCAAGAUUUUGCGAAAGUGUGAAACACUGCGAACGGCGGAGGAAACUCGAUUGCUGGAGUCAUGUACGGAGGCUGUCAAGGAGAUUUCGCAGCGACGGGAGAAGGUGCAGCUGUACAAGGAGCGUAUCCAGGAGAAGGAAGAUCCGACGGAUGUCAUCGAGACGAAGGCUAGAAAGUUGGCAGAGGCCAUCACUAGGGCACGUCAUUUGAUCUGCUACACAGGAGCUGGGAUAAGUACGUCGGCUAGGAUUCCGGAUUAUCGGGGAAGCAAUGGGAUUUGGACACUUUUGGCGCAGGGGAAGGAUAUUGGGAAGCAUGAUUUGUCCCUUGCUGAGCCAACAUUCACCCAUAUGGCGCUGUAUGAGUUGCAUAGGCGGAAGAUGCUGAGGUUUGUGGUGUCACAGAAUUGCGAUGGACUUCAUUUGAGGAGCGGUCUGCCCAGGAAUUCGUUGUCGGAAGUCCAUGGGAAUAUGUACAUUGAGGCUUGCAAACAGUGUAAGCCCAAUGUGGAGUACUGGAGGCUGUUUGAUACGACGGAACUUACAGCGAGGUACAAUCACAAAACCAUGAGACGGUGUCAUAUCUGCGGGAAGCCCCUGGUGGACACAAUUGUGCAUUUUGGGGAACGUGGCAGUCUGCGGUGGCCACUGAAUUGGGCAGGAGCAUGUGCACAGUCAGAGAAGGCCGAUGUGAUUCUAUGCCUGGGCUCCAGUCUCAAGGUUCUGAAAAAGUAUUCCUGGCUCUGGGCAAUGGAUAGACCGGCGAAGAAACGACCAAAGCUGUACAUUGUGAAUCUUCAGUGGACGCCAAAGGAUAAUGUGGCAGCACUGAAAAUCAAUGGGAAGUGCGAUGAAGUGAUGAGAUUGGUGAUGAAGCAUCUCAAUAUCAUGGUGCCAGAGUACAAGAGACUGAAAGAUCCCAUCUUUGCUCAUGCCAGUCUCCUCAGUCCAUUGGAACUUCAUACAGUCAGUCAGCCGAUGCUAAAGUCCCAGAAUGAGCUAGAAUGCAGCGAAGUCUCCUUUGAGGAUGGAAAAAAAGAAGAAUCCUGGGAUGAUUCCCAGAGUGCCCUUGAUCUUUCCAGUGAAAAAAACUCAAUGGAGGAAGUUGUAGUUAAAAUUGAACCUGGUGAUGUGAAAGUGGAAGAUUCCAGGCCCAAUAGCCCAGAGAUUAAAAAAGAGAUUGAGACAAAAGACUCAGAAGCAGUAACUAGUGUAGAAUACAAUAAGACUUGUAGCUGUAAGAAAAGUAGUUUAGGUGAAGAAAACUCAGGUGAACCAACAGAAAAUGGCCCAGAGACUGAUAAGGAGGAGUGUCUUUGUGCAUCAGAUUCAUCCAAUACACCCCUGGAUUUGAGUUUUAAGCACGAGGACACUGUUCCUGACGAUAGCAUCACGGAUCCAGAAGCAUCACAAUUGUCUCCGGCAGAGAUUUCCGAGGAUCAUCCGAGUGGAGGCGAUGCGAUAGCCUGUGAUAGAAGCAGUACCGAACUCUUGGGAGAGCAACUGCUCAAUGUUGCCAAAAUUCAAUUUAGCAAUGCUCUGAGGAAUCUGAGGAAUUUUCAUCUGAAAACAGACAGAAGAUUCCUCUUUCCAGUCACCGAAAGUGCGUCCACGGGAAAGACAGAAGGGAGUCCGGAGAAUGUCUCAGUUGAAAAUGAGAAAUCCCCAGAGGACUACUACAAAGACCUUCUGAACUAUUACAAGGCCAUUGAGGGCUCUUUGCCGUACUGGUACGAUACAAAUUAUGCGUACUCGGGUUUGCACAGUAUUAUCAAUCCGCCGCCAUCGGAUAUGGAUCUCUGGGGUUCGAUAUUCAUCCCGAUUUUUCAAAUAAAAGGCGCCACAAAUGCCGAAUGUGAAUUCUGCUUUGACAAUUACGGUGAACUGGGAUGUCAGUUUUAUACGGCACGGAAGCCCGAGUUCCAGGUCACGGUCGAGCGCAGUGGCAAGGUUGUGGUCUGCGAGUGCUGUGACUUCACGGAGAAUGAGGAGUCUGAGGAGGAAGAGGGCCCUGGGGGUGCAAAGACGACGUCUUCCAUUGAGGAGGAAAAUAGCGUGUCGGACGAGGCGAGUGGGCGUGAGGAGAAGCGACCGAAGUUGGAGGGUGAGAUGCGUGAGCCAAAAAUCCAGGCCGGAUGGUAUGGCAAGGGCUACAGAAAGAACAGGAAGCGCAAAAAGAGUUGAAGAAACUAUACACAAUGUCUGUAGAAGGACUUGGUUUAUUUUUCACAUUUUAACGUCAUUUCCCGAUAAAUUAUUCUCUUGGCAUCGAUCUCUUUUUCAACGUUCUACUUGCCACAAUUUGGAGAUUACAAGAAAAAAAACAGGAGUAUUAAUCUAAGUUAAUUUAUCAGUAUCUUUUUUUUACAUUAUUAUUGUGUUCCGUGUGUGAGACUAAAGUAAGUGUGAAGAGUGAAAAUAUAAUUAUUGAAAAAUUCAAAA
Molecule: RNA transcript, 2829 nt
Organism: Phlebotomus papatasi
Lineage: Eukaryota; Metazoa; Arthropoda; Insecta; Diptera; Psychodidae
Gene: Sirt7
Gene name: NAD-dependent protein deacetylase Sirt7
Exons: 4
Source: RefSeq, a predicted model, not a curated record